Molecule: transfer RNA, 72 nt
Filed under: Schistosoma japonicum
Lineage: Eukaryota; Metazoa; Platyhelminthes; Trematoda; Strigeidida; Schistosomatidae
Description: tRNA-Pro
Source: RNAcentral
GGCUCCGUGGUCCAAUGGUAAGGCAUUCGCCUUGGAGCCUGAGGGUCCUUGGUUCGAUCCCCAACGGGACAG